RNAcentral lists this ribosomal RNA (706 nucleotides) under uncultured Bacteroidota bacterium. Its description in RNAcentral is "bacterial SSU rRNA". It matches the Rfam family "Bacterial small subunit ribosomal RNA", at positions 127 to 831 of the family's 1533-position model. Lineage: Bacteria; Pseudomonadati; Bacteroidota. The record is from RNAcentral.
UUCCCGUUGCUAGGGGAUAACCUUGCGAAAGCAAGACUAAUACCCUAUGAAGUUCUUCGCAGGCAUCUAAAGAGAACCAAAGAUUUAUCGGCAACGGAUGGGGAUGCGUCUGAUUAGGUUGUUGGCGGGGUAACGGCCCACCAAGCCUACGAUCAGUAGGGGUUCUGAGAGGAAGGUCCCCCACAUUGGAACUGAGACACGGUCCAAACUCCUACGGGAGGCAGCAGUGAGGAAUAUUGGUCAAUGGACGGAAGUCUGAACCAGCCAAGUAGCGUGCAGGACGACGGCCCUAUGGGUUGUAAACUGCUUUUAUGUGGGAAUAAAGUGAGGGACGUGUCCCUUUUUGUAGGUACCACAUGAAUAAGGACCGGCUAAUUCCGUGCCAGCAGCCGCGGUAAUACGGAAGGUCCGGGCGUUAUCCGGAUUUAUUGGGUUUAAAGGGAGCGUAGGCCGUCUUUUAAGCGUGUUGUGAAAUACUGUCGCUCAACGACAGAGGUGCAGCGCGAACUGGGAGACUUGAGUGCGCGGAAUGCAGGCGGAAUUCGUCGUGUAGCGGUGAAAUGCUUAGAUAUGACGAAGAACUCCGAUUGCGAAGGCAGCUUGCAGUAGCGUAACUGACGCUGAAGCUCGAAAGUGCGGGUAUCGAACAGGAUUAGAUACCCUGGUAGUCCGCACGGUAAACGAUGGAUGCUCGCUGUGUGCCCCU